UUUUGUACAAUAAGAGAUGAGGUGUAAAGGCGCCGUGUGUUCAACAGAAAUAUAGCCUAAUUAUUAUUGAGUGAGUGCUCAGAGAAGGUGAAAAGCCUGUAUGGUUGUAUUCAUCUGUUGAACCGUGACGCUAAAGAGUCUAGUUGUUUGAGAGUACAACUUAAAGCUGGUGGUAAAUUUCAUCAAAGGCUAAAUAUAAGAGGGGACUAAUAGCGAACAAGUACCAUGAGGGAAAGUUGAAAAGAACUCUGACGAGAGAGUUCAACAGUACGUGAAACCAUAUUGAGUAAAACAGAUAACUGUGUUGUUAUGUGGUGUGCCUAUCAACAGCCAAUUUGGUGAUGUGAUGUCAUGAGUGAAAGCUGUCUAUUCAGCUGCUCGCUCGUGGUUAACAUAACCUGAGGUUCUGUGCACUAGUGCGCACUCAAUCAUUGAGAAACUAUGCUGCUGCAGCAUCGAUGUGUAUCAGUCUGUACCUAGUACACAGUUACAUGUUGGGCAUUAGCUAGCUGGCGUAGUUUAGCUGUGCGACAGCUGUGGGUAGCGUUUAUCGAAUGCGGCUGCUGUAUCUGCGAAAUGGUUCAUUCCUUUUUGCGGCGAGCAUGUCGCUGUAGGUAAGCCACCCGCCAUCAAUGAUUAACAUUAGUUAUUUGACCCGUCUUGAAACACGGAAAGGAGUUCAAAUGGCACGCGAGUCAUUGGGUUUUAACACCCGAAGGCGAAGUGAAAUGCAAACGUAUUGUUAUUUGUGGUUGUUCCAUGAUGAAGCGAUAAGCUACUCAUGCUUUCUGGCAUUUGUAGACUACAAGCGUGAUGUUUGAGACCCGAAAGAUGGUGACCUAUGCCUAGUCAAGAUGAAGCCAGAGGAAACUCUGGUGGAUGUCUGAAGUUAUUCUGACGUGCAAAUCGAUAAUCUGAUCUGGGUAUAGGGGCGAAAGACUAAUCGAACCAUCUAGUAGCUGGUUCCUUCCGAAGUUUCCCUCAGGAUAGCAAGCGUACACUUUUAGUUUCAUCCCGUAAAGCGAAUGAUUAGAGGCCUUGGGGCGUAUAUAGCCUCAACCUAUUCUCAAACUUUUAAUGGGUGUGAGUGUUCUUUCUCAAUUGAAGAACGCUGCUAAAUAAGUAUGCUUAGUGGGCCAUUUUUGGUAAGCAGAACUGGCGCUGUGGGUUGAACCAAUUGUUGAGUUAAAGUGCCUAAAGCUGGAAUGCGCAUGAGAUCUACAAAGGGUGUUAGUUGCUGAAGACAGCAGG
RNAcentral lists this ribosomal RNA (1251 nucleotides) under Ornithonyssus bursa. RNAcentral describes it as "eukaryotic LSU rRNA". It matches the Rfam family "Eukaryotic large subunit ribosomal RNA", at positions 127 to 1244 of the family's 3401-position model. The record is from RNAcentral. Lineage: Eukaryota; Metazoa; Arthropoda; Arachnida; Mesostigmata; Macronyssidae.